CUCUGACGUUAGCGGCGGACGGGUGAGUAACACGUGGAUAACCUACCUAUAAGACUGGGAUAACUUCGGGAAACCGGAGCUAAUACCGGAUAAUAUAUUGAACCGCAUGGUUCAAUAGUGAAAGACGGUUUUGCUGUCACUUAUAGAUGGAUCCGCGCCGCAUUAGCUAGUUGGUAAGGUAACGGCUUACCAAGGCAACGAUGCGUAGCCGACCUGAGAGGGUGAUCGGCCACACUGGAACUGAGACACGGUCCAGACUCCUACGGGAGGCAGCAGUAGGGAAUCUUCCGCAAUGGGCGAAAGCCUGACGGAGCAACGCCGCGUGAGUGAUGAAGGUCUUCGGAUCGUAAAACUCUGUUAUUAGGGAAGAACCAAAAUGUGUAAGUAACUAUGCACGUCUUGACGGUACCUAAUCAGAAAGCCACGGCUAACUACGUGCCAGCAGCCCGGUAAUACGUAGGUGGCAAGCGUUAUCCGGAAUUAUUGGGCGUAAAGCGCGCGUAGCGGUUUUUUAAGUCUGAUGUGAAAGCCCACGGCUCAACCGUGGAGGGUCAUUGGAAGCUGGAAAACUUGAGUGCAGAAGAGGAAAGUGGAAUUCCAUGUGUAGCGGUGAAAUGCGCAGAGAUAUGGAGGAACACCAGUGGCGAAGGCGACUUUCUGGUCUGUAACUGACGCUGAUGUGCGAAAGCGUGGGGAUCAAACAGGAUUAGAUACCCUGGUAGUCCACGCCGUAAACGAUGAGUGCUAAGUGUUAGGGGGUUUCCGCCCCUUAGUGCUGCAGCUAACGCAUUAAGCACUCCGCCUGGGGAGUACGACCG
Molecule: ribosomal RNA, 818 nt
Filed under: uncultured Staphylococcus sp.
Lineage: Bacteria; Bacillati; Bacillota; Bacilli; Caryophanales; Staphylococcaceae
Description: bacterial SSU rRNA
Rfam family: Bacterial small subunit ribosomal RNA
Source: RNAcentral